AAAGUCGUAACAAGGUUUCCGUAGGUGAACCUGCGGAAGGAUCAUCAUUGGUAUUCUUUGGUUGGUGGGGAGUGGGAUUCCCCAUUUCUAUUGAUUCCCAGCAAACAGACGGUAGCUUUUUGGGUUGUGGUUGACUGAGACAGCGAGAACGGAACGAGGGAGCAGAAACAACUUUCAACAACGGAUCUCUUGGCUCUC
This 198-nucleotide unclassified non-coding RNA is filed under the name Basidiomycota sp. RNAcentral describes it as "partial contains small subunit ribosomal RNA, internal transcribed spacer 1, and 5.8S ribosomal RNA". The stretch from base 1 to 47 matches the Rfam family "Eukaryotic small subunit ribosomal RNA", at positions 1785 to 1831 of the family's 1831-position model. Lineage: Eukaryota; Fungi; Basidiomycota. The record is from RNAcentral.